CUUCCCAGAACGUCUACCACCAGUAUACUUGUCCCUGCAGUGAGCCAAUGCCACCCUCACCUUCCCAGGACAACCUCCAAGACGAGAAGAUGCUGCCCCAGAUGUGGAAGAUGCAGAUGUUUGCCAGUUCAAGAAUAACUUCAAAUUCAUAAAUGUAUAUGGCAUUCUACAGAUUCCUCAGUUUGAGGAGAAAUGUCUCCCUCCCAAAAACGUUUAAAUCUUU
Molecule: non-coding RNA, 223 nt
Organism: Odocoileus virginianus texanus
Lineage: Eukaryota; Metazoa; Chordata; Mammalia; Artiodactyla; Cervidae
Source: RefSeq, a predicted model, not a curated record